Non-coding RNA from Acanthosepion pharaonis, 112 nucleotides. The record is from the annotation of a GenBank genome assembly. NCBI's taxonomy places the organism in Eukaryota, Metazoa, Mollusca, Cephalopoda, Sepiida, Sepiidae.
UCCGGCCAUAUCACGUUGAAACACCAAUUCUCGCACGAUCACCGAAGUUAAGCAACGUCGAUCCUGGUUAUACCUAGAUGGGUGACCGUUUGGUAAUACCAGGUGCAGUAAG